Molecule: non-coding RNA, 1305 nt
Organism: Physcomitrium patens
Lineage: Eukaryota; Viridiplantae; Streptophyta; Bryopsida; Funariales; Funariaceae
Source: RefSeq, a predicted model, not a curated record
UUGAAGCUCCAAUGCUUGCCAAAACUUGGGAUGUAUUAGCGGAGAAUCGUAUGAGAUUGGUCCUUCGAGUAUUACAGGUUGUACCGACUCAUGGGUGUGUUCAGGUUUUUUCUUUUCGACCCAGACGAAUUGCGGUCUCUGGAUCGGAGGGUUGGGUCUCUUGCUAGGAUCUGACCUGUUGUUCUUUGAAGUUUCUUGAUCUGGUGUUGGGUUGAUCUCGUUGGAGUUUUCUGAGUGUGUAGGUUUGCUUCGUGGUCUCUUCCCUUCUUUGUUUCUUCUUAGUGGACAGUUCUUGGCAUGAUGUGAAGUGCUGCGACAUCGGUUACAUUAGUUUGGCAGACCACUGUAUUCGAUGAUGUAUUCUUUCGCCACCUAGGAAAUUUGGUAGGACCAUUGAGUGUGGAAGUUUUGUGAUGUCGUCCACCAGUAUGCGUACACGAGAGUCUGAAACUUUACUUCUGUAUGUUUCGGAGGGGUCAAUUGCCAUCACCUCGCCGAUGUUACUAAAUGCCUCUUUGAGUUGUGGUGUGCGUAGUAAGCGUUGUAGUCCUCGCAGUUGGGCCCAUAUUGGAUAGGUUACUUGUUGAUAAAGCUGAUGCAGCUUCCAGGUCAAAAUCAGCUCUCCACGUAGAGAAGAGAAUGUCUUGGUUGUUGAAUUUGUACUGUUUGGUUAGCGUGUGCGUUUUGCCUUGUUCACUUGUGAAGUGUACCUCAAAGUAUCCUCCUCCUAGCAUCGUUAUCGAGGAGUAGGAAUUAUGGGGUACCUGAGUGGCCCAUUCGUGAAGUAUCCUCGGGCCGGGGUUCUUCUUCAAGUAUCCAAUGAGGGGUGCGUCCCCCGAUUUCACGGAGCCCCGCUCGCUCUAGCCAACUCGCUCUCCGCUCUACCAUUUGAGCUCCUAACCAACUGAGCUACGGGAGCUCACGCCCUGAUUUAUUUCAUAAUCCUUUAUAGAGUUGUUUUUCGUAGUUGAACUAUUAAUGUGGAGAUAUCGGAUUGUGUCGACUGGUUUUGCAAAGCGAUUGACAAAGUUAUGAGUAUUUUGAAACUAUGUGUCAACGAAGCGGCAUAACAAUGCUUCUUCAAAAAUAAUGAACAUCCUUUGGUAGAAGAAUGGACAUGUGCCAUCAACGGUCCCUUGUGGAGUUAUUUUUUUCUUGUUGUGACAGUCGUUAGCCAGACUUUGUCCGACUCGAUCCUAGGGCUGGUCGUAGGAACCACUGAAUGCUUGUGGAAUCACGUAGAACAAGCAUUUAAGUUUUUGUACAAUGGCGGAAAAGAAACAUGGAUUUCAAUCUCUUACCGAC